Molecule: ribosomal RNA, 440 nt
Filed under: uncultured bacterium
Lineage: Bacteria
Description: partial 16S ribosomal RNA
Rfam family: Bacterial small subunit ribosomal RNA
Source: RNAcentral
CCUACGGGGGGCUGCAGUGGGGGAUAUUGCACAAUGGGGGGAACCCUGAUGCAGCGACGCCGCGUGGGUGAAGAAGCGCCUCGGCGCGUAAAGCCCUGUCAGCAGGGAAGAAAAUGACGGUACCUGAAGAAGAAGCCCCGGCGAACUACGUGCCAGCAGCCGCGGUAAUACGUAGGGGGCAAGCGUUAGCCGGAUUUACUGGGUGUAAAGGGGGCGCAGACGGCGAUGCAAGCCAGGAGUGAAGGCCCGGGGCCUAACCCGGGGACUGCGCUUGGAACUGGGUGGCUGGAGUGCAGGAGGGGGAGGUGGAAUUCCGGGUGUAGCGGUGAAAUGCGUAGAUAUCAGGAGGAACACCGGUGGCGAAGGCGGCCUGCAGGACUGCAACUGACGUUGAGGCCCGAAAGCGUGGGGAGCAAACAGGAUUAGAUACCCGUGUAGUC